CUGAAUGUUUAAGCCGGUGGUUGGAAGAGGAAAUGGAAUUCCCCGGACUGGUAAGAGCGCGCGCCGACACAGCCCUCUCUCAUGCGCCCAAUCAGGAGUAUGCGGUGGGAGGUGUCAUGGAUUAAUUACCAGAUACCUUUAGUCGAUGUUGAGCCGGGAUUUUGAGAUUUCCGGUGGAGCAGCACCUGUUGAUUUGUGCUGGUACCUGGAAGAGAUGUAACACCUGAUCAUGGGACAUCAAGUGACUGUGUGAAUCAAACUGCGCAUCAUGAAUUGGUGUUAUUUGACUCACCAAAUUGUACAACUGAAUGAGCACAGGAACAGUGCACUACAUAUGGGACUGGAACCAUGAAUGAGCAGGUGACUAGACUCCUAUAGUACCUGCCUCUAUUCCUUCAACACUUCUCCCUCAAUGCACAUAAACUGUCAUCAUAAGGAGUUCCCUCUGACCAGUUAAUGGAAGAGAAAAAAGUAUGGAUCUUGUGGAUAUCCUAACACAUCUCUGGCCAUUGGACCCCUAGAAACCUGUGGCAAGUCCUGGAAGUUUUUCAAGGUUCAUCUUGCACCUUUCUUACCAAAACAUGUAGAAUGCUGCCUACUUCUGCUCAUCAGUUUUAUUUAAUAUAAUUUCAUUACUAUAAUGGAUCAGUAUGAUGUUCUAUGGAAUCACAAGAUCAUCAAGGUCCCUUCAUACCAUAUAGAGAACAGCAGAGUUGAUGUAGCCUGAGACAAGACAGUAAGGACUUACUGUUGUCCCUCCUAUAGACACAUGUGAUGAGCUCUUGGGACAUGUUUCACUACUUGUGGAUCCUAGUAUUUCCUUGCUCAAUAUUCAAAAGAAAUAGGUCUGGCAUCUCUAGGAGUAUCAAAUGAAGAUGUUCAGAAACUACACAAGGUGAGUUCAUUUUCAAUUUAAAAAAAUAUUCUAUUUAUAUCUAUUAAUAAUGUAGUAAAAGCUUCCAAGUUACUCAUUAUAAAGUAAUGGCUCUGGAAACAGCAUGGUAAUUUAAAAA
Long non-coding RNA from Sapajus apella (tufted capuchin), 1013 nucleotides. RefSeq lists it as uncharacterized. The transcript has 3 exons. NCBI's taxonomy places the organism in Eukaryota, Metazoa, Chordata, Mammalia, Primates, Cebidae. The record is from RefSeq and is a predicted model, not a curated record.